CCUACGGGGGGCAGCAGUAGGGAAUCUUGGACAAUGGGCGAAAGCCUGAUCCAGCCAUGCCGCGUGUGUGAUGAAGGCCUUAGGGUUGUAAAGCACUUUCGCCAGGGAAGCGGUACCUGGAUAAGAAGCCCCGGCUAACUUCGUGCCAGCAGCCGCGGUAAUACGAAGGGGGCUAGCGUUGUUCGGAAUUACUGGGCGUAAAGCGCACGUAGGCGGUUUUCCAAGUUGGAGGUGAAAUCCCUGGGCUUAACCCAGGAACUGCCCCCAAAACUGGAUGACUCGAGUCCGAGAGAGGUGAGUGGAAUUUCCAGUGUAGAGGUGAAAUUCGUAGAUAUUGGAAAGAACACCAGUGGCGAAGGCGGCUCACUGGCUCGGACUGACGCUGAGGUGCGACAGCGUGGGGAGCAAACAGGAUUAGAUACCCUUGUAGUC
RNAcentral lists this ribosomal RNA (432 nucleotides) under uncultured bacterium. RNAcentral describes it as "partial 16S ribosomal RNA". It matches the Rfam family "Bacterial small subunit ribosomal RNA", at positions 338 to 795 of the family's 1533-position model. The record is from RNAcentral.